CCUACGGGUGGCUGCAGUCGAGGAUCUUCGGCAAUGGGCGCAAGCCUGACCGAGCGACGCCGCGUGCGGGAUGAAGGCCUUCGGGUUGUAAACCGCUGUCAGUGGGGAGGAAAUGCCGGUGGGUUCUCCCACCGGUUUGACCUAUCCGCAGAGGAAGCAAGGGCUAAGUUCGUGCCAGCAGCCGCGGUAAGACGAGCCUUGCAAACGUUAUUCGGAAUUACUGGGCUUAAAGGGUGCGUAGGCUGUGCAGAAAGUUGGGUGUGAAAUCCCCCGGCUCAACCGGGGAAUGGCAUUCAAAACUACUGCGCUAGAGGAAGACAGAGGUCAGCGGAACUUCGGGUGGAGCGGUGAAAUGCGUUGAUAUCCGAAGGAACACCGGUGGCGAAAGCGGCUGACUGGGUCUUUUCUGACGCUGAUGCACGAAAGCUAGGGUAGCGAAC
This 440-nucleotide ribosomal RNA is filed under the name uncultured bacterium. RNAcentral describes it as "bacterial SSU rRNA". It matches the Rfam family "Bacterial small subunit ribosomal RNA", at positions 338 to 773 of the family's 1533-position model. The record is from RNAcentral.